Molecule: transfer RNA, 76 nt
Filed under: Candidatus Omnitrophota bacterium
Lineage: Bacteria; Pseudomonadati; Candidatus Omnitrophota
Description: Candidatus Omnitrophica bacterium (sediment metagenome) tRNA-Lys
Rfam family: tRNA
About the family: Transfer RNA (tRNA) molecules are approximately 80 nucleotides in length.
Source: RNAcentral
GGGCCGCUAGCUCAUCAGGUAGAGCACCACACUUUUAAUGUGGUUGUGGAAGGUUCGAGACCUUCGCGGCUCACCA